AUUGAACGCUGGCGGCAGGCCUAACACAUGCAAGUCGAACGAGUGGCGGACGGGUGAGUAAUAUCUGGGAAACUGCCUGAUGGAGGGGGAUAACUACUGGAAACGGUAGCUAAUACCGCAUACCAUCGGAUGUACCCAUAUGGGAUUAGCUAGUAGGUGGGGUAAAGGCUCACCUAGGCGACGAUCCCUAGCUGGUCUGAGAGGAUGACCAGCCACACUGGAACUGAGACACGGUCCAGACUCCUACGGGAGGCAGCAGUGGGGAAUAUUGCACAAUGGGCGCAAGCCUGAUGCAGCCAUGCCGCGUGUAUGAAGAAGGCCUUCGGGUUGUAAAGUACUUUCAGCGGGGAGGCGUUACCGACAGAAGAAGCACCGGCUAACUCCGUGCCAGCAGCCGCGGUAAUUC
RNAcentral lists this ribosomal RNA (406 nucleotides) under uncultured bacterium. Its description in RNAcentral is "partial 16S ribosomal RNA". It matches the Rfam family "Bacterial small subunit ribosomal RNA", at positions 30 to 526 of the family's 1533-position model. The record is from RNAcentral.